This 254-nucleotide ribosomal RNA is filed under the name uncultured bacterium. Its description in RNAcentral is "partial 16S ribosomal RNA". It matches the Rfam family "Bacterial small subunit ribosomal RNA", at positions 57 to 305 of the family's 1533-position model. The record is from RNAcentral.
GCAAGUCGAGGGGUAACAGGAAGUGCUUGCACUUUGCUGACGACCGGCGAACGGGUGAGUACUGCAUAAGAAACCUGCCCAUGAGACUGGGAUAGCCAUUCUAACGGUUGAUUAAUACCAGAUAGUAAUAUUGAGAGGCAUCUUUCAAUAUUUAAAUGCUUUAGCGCUCAUGGAUGGGCUUAAGUGAGAUCAGCUAGGUGGUGAGGUAAUGGCUCACCAAGGCAAUGACGUCUAGCCGGCCUGAGAGGAUGAUC